UUUUUACUUUUUUUAGAGCUCGAGGUUUUUUAGUUUCUACCGGUCUCUGAUCACCUUUUUUCCCUGUUUUUUCAGUUAUACCCUAGAUUUUGGCCGAGUUUACCUUGGUCUAGACUACUUGUCUCCUUUUUUCGUUUACAAUGACAUAUUUCAAUCAUUUCCCUAUUGUCUUUAAGCUUGAGGUACCCUAUUUCUUAAGCUUUAGAUUAAAA
Molecule: long non-coding RNA, 212 nt
Filed under: Lathyrus oleraceus (garden pea)
Lineage: Eukaryota; Viridiplantae; Streptophyta; Magnoliopsida; Fabales; Fabaceae
Description: Pisum sativum (pea) long non-coding RNA (PSAT_LNC027296)
Source: RNAcentral